RNAcentral lists this ribosomal RNA (2904 nucleotides) under Escherichia coli. RNAcentral's name for it is "23S ribosomal RNA". It matches the Rfam family "Bacterial large subunit ribosomal RNA". The record is from RNAcentral. Lineage: Bacteria; Pseudomonadati; Pseudomonadota; Gammaproteobacteria; Enterobacterales; Enterobacteriaceae.
GGUUAAGCGACUAAGCGUACACGGUGGAUGCCCUGGCAGUCAGAGGCGAUGAAGGACGUGCUAAUCUGCGAUAAGCGUCGGUAAGGUGAUAUGAACCGUUAUAACCGGCGAUUUCCGAAUGGGGAAACCCAGUGUGUUUCGACACACUAUCAUUAACUGAAUCCAUAGGUUAAUGAGGCGAACCGGGGGAACUGAAACAUCUAAGUACCCCGAGGAAAAGAAAUCAACCGAGAUUCCCCCAGUAGCGGCGAGCGAACGGGGAGCAGCCCAGAGCCUGAAUCAGUGUGUGUGUUAGUGGAAGCGUCUGGAAAGGCGCGCGAUACAGGGUGACAGCCCCGUACACAAAAAUGCACAUGCUGUGAGCUCGAUGAGUAGGGCGGGACACGUGGUAUCCUGUCUGAAUAUGGGGGGACCAUCCUCCAAGGCUAAAUACUCCUGACUGACCGAUAGUGAACCAGUACCGUGAGGGAAAGGCGAAAAGAACCCCGGCGAGGGGAGUGAAAAAGAACCUGAAACCGUGUACGUACAAGCAGUGGGAGCCUCUUUUAUGGGGUGACUGCGUACCUUUUGUAUAAUGGGUCAGCGACUUAUAUUCUGUAGCAAGGUUAACCGAAUAGGGGAGCCGAAGGGAAACCGAGUCUUAACUGGGCGUUAAGUUGCAGGGUAUAGACCCGAAACCCGGUGAUCUAGCCAUGGGCAGGUUGAAGGUUGGGUAACACUAACUGGAGGACCGAACCGACUAAUGUUGAAAAAUUAGCGGAUGACUUGUGGCUGGGGGUGAAAGGCCAAUCAAACCGGGAGAUAGCUGGUUCUCCCCGAAAGCUAUUUAGGUAGCGCCUCGUGAAUUCAUCUCCGGGGGUAGAGCACUGUUUCGGCAAGGGGGUCAUCCCGACUUACCAACCCGAUGCAAACUGCGAAUACCGGAGAAUGUUAUCACGGGAGACACACGGCGGGUGCUAACGUCCGUCGUGAAGAGGGAAACAACCCAGACCGCCAGCUAAGGUCCCAAAGUCAUGGUUAAGUGGGAAACGAUGUGGGAAGGCCCAGACAGCCAGGAUGUUGGCUUAGAAGCAGCCAUCAUUUAAAGAAAGCGUAAUAGCUCACUGGUCGAGUCGGCCUGCGCGGAAGAUGUAACGGGGCUAAACCAUGCACCGAAGCUGCGGCAGCGACGCUUAUGCGUUGUUGGGUAGGGGAGCGUUCUGUAAGCCUGUGAAGGUGUGCUGUGAGGCAUGCUGGAGGUAUCAGAAGUGCGAAUGCUGACAUAAGUAACGAUAAAGCGGGUGAAAAGCCCGCUCGCCGGAAGACCAAGGGUUCCUGUCCAACGUUAAUCGGGGCAGGGUGAGUCGACCCCUAAGGCGAGGCCGAAAGGCGUAGUCGAUGGGAAACAGGUUAAUAUUCCUGUACUUGGUGUUACUGCGAAGGGGGGACGGAGAAGGCUAUGUUGGCCGGGCGACGGUUGUCCCGGUUUAAGCGUGUAGGCUGGUUUUCCAGGCAAAUCCGGAAAAUCAAGGCUGAGGCGUGAUGACGAGGCACUACGGUGCUGAAGCAACAAAUGCCCUGCUUCCAGGAAAAGCCUCUAAGCAUCAGGUAACAUCAAAUCGUACCCCAAACCGACACAGGUGGUCAGGUAGAGAAUACCAAGGCGCUUGAGAGAACUUGGGUGAAGGAACUAGGCAAAAUGGUGCCGUAACUUCGGGAGAAGGCACGCUGAUAUGUAGGUGAAGUCCCUUGCGGAUGGAGCUGAAAUCAGUCGAAGAUACCAGCUGGCUGCAACUGUUUAUUAAAAACACAGCACUGUGCAAACACGAAAGUGGACGUAUACGGUGUGACGCCUGCCCGGUGCCGGAAGGUUAAUUGAUGGGGUCAGCGCAAGCGAAGCUCUUGAUCGAAGCCCCGGUAAACGGCGGCCGUAACUAUAACGGUCCUAAGGUAGCGAAAUUCCUUGUCGGGUAAGUUCCGACCUGCACGAAUGGCGUAAUGAUGGCCAGGCUGUCUCCACCCGAGACUCAGUGAAAUUGAACUCGCUGUGAAGAUGCAGUGUACCCGCGGCAAGACGGAAAGACCCCGUGAACCUUUACUAUAGCUUGACACUGAACAUUGAGCCUUGAUGUGUAGGAUAGGUGGGAGGCUUAGAAGUGUGGACGCCAGUCUGCAUGGAGCCGACCUUGAAAUACCACCCUUUAAUGUUUGAUGUUCUAACGUUGACCCGUAAUCCGGGUUGCGGACAGUGUCUGGUGGGUAGUUUGACUGGGGCGGUCUCCUCCUAAAGAGUAACGGAGGAGCACGAAGGUUGGCUAAUCCUGGUCGGACAUCAGGAGGUUAGUGCAAUGGCAUAAGCCAGCUUGACUGCGAGCGUGACGGCGCGAGCAGGUGCGAAAGCAGGUCAUAGUGAUCCGGUGGUUCUGAAUGGAAGGGCCAUCGCUCAACGGAUAAAAGGUACUCCGGGGAUAACAGGCUGAUACCGCCCAAGAGUUCAUAUCGACGGCGGUGUUUGGCACCUCGAUGUCGGCUCAUCACAUCCUGGGGCUGAAGUAGGUCCCAAGGGUAUGGCUGUUCGCCAUUUAAAGUGGUACGCGAGCUGGGUUUAGAACGUCGUGAGACAGUUCGGUCCCUAUCUGCCGUGGGCGCUGGAGAACUGAGGGGGGCUGCUCCUAGUACGAGAGGACCGGAGUGGACGCAUCACUGGUGUUCGGGUUGUCAUGCCAAUGGCACUGCCCGGUAGCUAAAUGCGGAAGAGAUAAGUGCUGAAAGCAUCUAAGCACGAAACUUGCCCCGAGAUGAGUUCUCCCUGACCCUUUAAGGGUCCUGAAGGAACGUUGAAGACGACGACGUUGAUAGGCCGGGUGUGUAAGCGCAGCGAUGCGUUGAGCUAACCGGUACUAAUGAACCGUGAGGCUUAACCUU